This is a long non-coding RNA of Zonotrichia leucophrys gambelii, 1096 nucleotides long. RefSeq lists it as uncharacterized. The record is from RefSeq and is a predicted model, not a curated record. The transcript is spliced from 6 exons. NCBI's taxonomy places the organism in Eukaryota, Metazoa, Chordata, Aves, Passeriformes, Passerellidae.
GUUUUUGUUGCUGUGGUUCUGGUCUGUUUCAUGUGCCAGGGACCUCAGAAGCCAUUUCAGUAUCUGAGAGCAGGGGUGGCAGGCUUGGACUUCCAGCUUAAUUCAGAGUGAGUAGGAAACCUAGACAAAAUCCUGAGAAGUGCCUUAGCAGAACACCCAUCACAGGCAGGUGGAGGAGGAGGAUGGAGAGGAAUGAGCACAGAUGCCUUUUCUGCAUGCACCGAGUGCUGUCUCUGGACAAGACCUACUGGCAGUAAACACUGCUUGAUCAACUGUUCCUGACUGCUGCCACCUCCUCAUCUUAUGUUGCUAACACCUGUCAGCUCAGCCAAAAUCUGUCAGCAGAGGUCCAAGUGCACUUCCUGACUUGCCAGCCCACCCAAAACAUCCUAGCCAUCCCAGCUGGCUUUCCUCAACUUUCACACAGUGCUUACUGGAUCAGGAUUAGAGCUGCCAAACUAUGCCAAAGGCUGCGGUUGAGUUUCUAUUAUAAGUCUGCUUUCUGGCUUCUCCCCCAGACUGUGAAAGGCUUCAUAUAAGGAGGCAAAAUCCAUAGGAUGUGAUGGUCUAUAGCAAUCUCCAGCUCUGUACCAGUGAUACCAGCUGGUCUCAGGCAUGCAAGGAACUGCAGAACCAUCCCAACAAGAUCUGCUCUAUCUGGGAGAUGAUGGGACUGAGGGACCAGCUCCUGGGAGAGGGCAGAUCCAAGUCUGCAGGAACCAUUACCUGCCCAAGCUGCAUAUUAGCAACAGUACAGAGCCAGGCCGACUGUCUUUGUACUUGACCCUCCUUUUCCUCCAGCACAGAGGUGCAAGUCUGAGAGUCUGAGUCUGUGCCUGCUGGCCUCCUGCUCACCCAGAACAGUUGUGUGCUGGGAUGAGAGGCUGGAUGCACCUGCAGGGUACUUUGGCGUAUUUGACCCAGGUGCCUGGGAAGGAAGCCAAACCAGAAGCUGCCUUCAUGUGCACAUCAAAACUGCUCUGGCUCCAUCUGGGGUGGCCCAGACCAAUUCUAAGUCCUUGUGACAGGGACAUUGUUGGGGAGACCAGACCUCCUCUGAAAUAAAACCUUUGAACUGCUUAUAGCGCAAGGGCGC